Molecule: long non-coding RNA, 219 nt
Filed under: Helianthus annuus (common sunflower)
Lineage: Eukaryota; Viridiplantae; Streptophyta; Magnoliopsida; Asterales; Asteraceae
Description: sRNA HanXRQr2_Chr02g0056271
Source: RNAcentral
UAAAAAUCAUUUAAUUGAAAUCGGUUGAGCUCUCAAGCCUUGAAUCGGUUCCUCAUCCACUGAUUUUCUUGUUAGAAUUUCUUCAUAUCGGUUGAUGCUUGAUUUUGUCCUUAAAUCCACUUCCUCGGAUUCUCUGACUUGUCGGAGUUGGUGUCUUUUCGAAUUUUCAAGAUGAGAUAUUGUUAAUUGUCAUGUUAAAAGACAGAAUUGGAGAUCUGG